CGUAAUCGAUGGAUAACAGGUUAAUAUUCCUGUACUUAGUAAUGUUCGCUUGACACGAAGGAGUGACGGAGAAAGGUAGCAAAGCCAACUGUUGGAUGUUGGUUUAAGCGAGUAGGUGGGUGUCUUAGGUAAAUCCGGGACGCUAUUAACAUCGAGACGCGAAUACGAGGGCCUAGCCCGAAGUUUGUGAUCCUCUGCUUCCAAGAAAAGCUUCGCGUGGAGAAUAUUAUUAAUCCGUACCGUAAACCGACACAGGUAGAUGAGGAGAGAAUCCUCAGGCGCUUGGGAAAACUCCAGUUAAGGAACUCUGCAAAUUGGUGCCGUAACUUUGGGAUAAGGCACGCCUUUGUUGGUGACACCGCUUGCCGGUGAAGCUGAUGGAGGCCGCAGUGAAGAGGGGGUAGCGACUGUUUAUCAAAAACAUAGGUCUAUGCGAACACGUAAGUGGAUGUAUAUGGACUGACGCCUGCCCGGUGCUCGAAGGUUAAGAGGAGGAGUGCAAGCUCUGAAUUGAAGCCCGAGUAAACGGCGGCCGUAACGAUAACGGUCCUAAGGUAGCGAAAUUCCUUGUCGGGU
Molecule: ribosomal RNA, 576 nt
Filed under: Pseudo-nitzschia fraudulenta
Lineage: Eukaryota; Bacillariophyta; Bacillariophyceae; Bacillariales; Bacillariaceae
Description: partial Bacterial large subunit ribosomal RNA
Rfam family: Bacterial large subunit ribosomal RNA
Source: RNAcentral